GAUAUAGUUGUAGAUAACCAAGUUGCAUUUAUACAGGUAGAUAUUUGGUGCACAAAGUGUUGAUAAGCCAUGAUUUGAUUAGGCAAUAUAUCAGGAAGACUACUCCUAGAUGUAUGCUGAAAAUUAAUUUGAGGAAAGAUUAUGCGUUGUCAAAUGGGAGUUUAUUAAUGAGAUGUUGAAGAGGUAUCGGUUUCCACAAUAGUUUAUCAAGAUAGUGAUUGUAACGAUCUGUUUUUUGAUGAAAUAUGUGAAAUAUGCAUUUAUGUGUGAUUUGACUAUUUUACCGCUCUCUGUAGUUGCAUUAUGGUAUUUCUGGGGUGUGGGUGUGAUUGACAUAGUUUUUGAUUUAUUUUGGUACCAUUUAUGUGAUAUUGUGGUUUUUGAUGGUUUCAAGAGUCUUAUUUUGGACUUAUAUGGAUAUUAUUUGAUUUGUGUGAUGGAUGGUUAAACGGACUACGCCAACAGCUCCAGAAUAUCGAUUUUAGGCUAGGUAGACCUUUGAUUCGAGUUCCGAUGCACCCGAGCUUAUUUUGACCUAUUGAUUGAAAAUUUGAAAAAUUAAAAAUAUGAGUGUGGGACCCACAUUUGAUCGAAAUGACUUUGAAUAAAAAAAAUAAGACUAUAUCAGCAGCUCUGGAAUAUCGAUUUUAGGAUGGUAACAAGUUUGGUGUGAUUUUAUGCCUUUUAAAUCUCAUUUCGAUCCUCGAUUUGAAAAAUUGUGAUUUCGAAUUUUAGGGAUCAACUCUAUGAAAAUGAUAUUUUUUUCGAAAAUUCAACUUCGGCAACACAUUUGAAAAGUCAAAUUUAGUGUAGUUUCAUAGUCCAUUUACGUAUAUCUGCCUCCGAAUGAAUCUAGGAAACCACGUCGAGGUCCCUUUGGACUUAGAAAAAUCUAAAGUGCAGAUUUUUCUGCAAUAAUGCAGUUUUUUUUACCCCUUUUUGGCUCAUUUUGUCCAUUCUUUCACCUUGUCUCUUGAAAGUUAAAUUCUAAAAUUGUGUGGGAGUUUAAAAGUGAAGUUUGUAGGAGCUUGGAAAGCUAGAUUAACAUCUAUUUCUUGAUUCUCUUAAGGAUUUAAGGUAAGAAUUCACCCUUUUCUUAAUAAUUUCUUGAUUAAUUUCUCAAAAUCUGAAAAAUCUUAAGGCUUGAUUUUAAACCCCAAUUGCACUCCUUUUCACUUGAGUAAUAUUUUAAUCUCAUAAUUACUAGUUUUUCAUCAAUUUAACCUUAAAAAAAAUUUGAUUCUUGAUUUUAACCCGUAUUUCAAAGAUUUUACCUGAUAAAGCUUAAAAUUAUUUUUCUUCGAUUUGAACCUCAUUUUUUCUCAAUUUUUAAUUUGGAUUUUCAGUUGUAGGUUCCUAAAAAUAUGGAAAACACAUUUUUAAAGUAAAGUUAUGAUUUUGUCGUUCUUUUAUGAAAAUCCAUUUCGGAGGUCCGUUUUGACUCCGAACUCAAAGUAGUCAAUAUGAGUGUCGUUAGUUUUUUUAUGUGUAGAUUUCAUUUUUGAUAUUUCUAGUGAAGUUUGGAAUCAUUAGUGAAAAGUAAUGUCAUGGGCUCAAAGUGUGGUGGACCAAUUUCGGCAUUCAAAAAUAGGUUAUAGCUUAACUCUUUCAGACUGGGUUGGGUAGUAAAUGAUGGUACAAAAUGCAUGUGAAGGGUGAGAAUUAAUCAUGAAAAAAGUGGCUAUCUAUGUGUUGUGCCCGUGUGGGGGCCUAUAUGUGAUGCAAUUGUCGAAAGUGAAAUAUUAUGUGAUAUUUGUGAUCGUGUGGGGUCCUAUGUGAUAUUGAUAGCCUUGAAUACAUGUGUAUAAUUGUAUUGUAUUAUUAAAAUGCUUAAUGUGGUACCAUUGAUGUAUUGUGAUUAUAUUAUACAUUAUUGACAUAUGAGACAUGUGAAAAUUCAUGGAUGAAACGAAAAUAAUAAAUGGAUAUUGGCUCACGUAGUUGUGAAAAUAUAUCACAGUGGUUGGUUAUGAAAAUAUAUUAUGUGGUUGGUUAUGGAAAUACUCAUUGUUAUUGAUUGCAAGCACUACAUCCUUAUAUCAUACUCAUUCAUGAAAUAUUGGUAUCAUCGUAGCAAUAUAUAAGUAACACUGGCCACACUUUUCUAAUCCCCCGUCCCCCAAGGGAUAUACCGGAGAGGAGAUAUUAUAAUACCUUAUAAAACUCUUUCCGAGUGAUGUACCGGAAAGGAGAUAUGAGAUAUGUGGAUUGUAAACGGGUUGACAAACCCCCCAUGGAUCCUGCAUUGAGAGUCUUGCCUCCUUAGGAUAUACGAAGAUUGUGCGACGACCCCGGAGGUUAUGUGAUGACCUCGUGCAUCAUCAUCAUCAUAUACAUUGCACUUACUUUAUUGUAUUUAUGUUGUGCAUGUAUUGCCAUAUUUACUUGUUAACUAUCUAUUUGUGCUAUAUUCUUGACUUGUAAAUAUCUAAUUAUUUUAUCUUUCUUCAUUUGUACAUGAUACAAGAUGAUCUUGAUUAUAGAUGUUCCUCUUUUUUUCUAUUGUAAAUGAUAUUGUGUGUAUUUGUAUCCCUAUCUGGUGUGUUGAUGUAUUAUCUGUUGAUAUUAUAAAUCUGCUAGUGCAAGCGGUAUGGGCUACCAUUGUGGGACAUUUUCUGAUUACUGAUGACAUGCCCUUAGGGUGUAUUUUGUAUGCUUUAUGUAUAAGUGGAUCAUACUUAUUCCUACUUUACCCUUCUGGUACAGAUCUAGGUUCGAGUGUGCCUCACACUGCUUCACUCGGGCGAUUAUUGGAGUUUUUAAGGUAGUGGGUGACUUUCAUGCAUUUGAAUGGGUCCUACUAUCUUUCUCUAUCAGACCAUGUCUUUAUUGUAUUUCAAAGACAGGGUUUUCAUGUUUUGAGUUACCUUAUGUAUUCUCUUUUGGACUUGAGUUAUAUUAAUAGUUCUUCUAUUGACACUAGAUUUUGAGAAUGUAUGGUUUUGGAUAGGCUCUUUUUGUAUUGUUAUAAUUACUUUUAUGGUUCAUCUUUGUUCUAGGAGUCUUACCUUGGGCUUUUUUUUCUUUUUUUCUUUUUAUAUCAGUUUGAAUGAUAGGAUUACUUAUCAAAGUAUGCUACGACAAGUGUCAUCAUGACCCUUAUUUUUGGAUCGUGAUAGUGAUGACUUGUGUUAUCUCAACAAAGUUCUCCAUUAAUGUGAAUGAUGAAGGCUAUGGAUAUUUCGGGGGGGAGGGGGCUUGAUAUGGGGGAUCUCAGUUCUCUUAUGUUAUUUGUUAAGGUGAUAGAUUACUUGACUAAAAUACCAAGGAAAAUGGCACUACUCUCAUAUUUCAGAUACAACCCCCAUUGUAAGGAUUUAAAACUAACUCAUUUGGUGUUUGCAGAUGAUUUACUAUGUUUUGCAAAAGGAAUGAGGCAUCAAUCAGAAGAGAAAUGGAGACACUCAACCAUUUUUAGGAGUUCAAUAGUUUGAGGUUAAUAUGGACAAAUUUAGUUUGUAUAUUGCAGGGGUUACAGAGCAAGUCAGGGAUAGUGUGUUACAGAUAAUAGGUUUUGCAUUGGGGAAAUUUUGUUAUGAGAUACUUGGGGCUUCCUUUAUCUCCUAGGAAAGGUGUUGAAACAGGUAGUAAAAGGUGUUCCAACUAUGUCAAAUUACUACUACAAUGACUUAGUGAAGUUAGUUAUAACUAACCUCUAGCUCACCACUAACCAACCAACUAACCUACUAGUAGUCUUAGCUCACUUAGUAACUGCCUAUAUAUACACAUGUAUUAUGUACUAUUGAAUAACAACUUGAAUAAUAGAAUUACAUUCUUGGUUAAUACUAAAUGAUCAUCUCUGUUCUCUCUUCUCUCUUCUCUUUCUCUCUUCCUUACUUGCUUCCUUGCUUAGUUAUUCAUGGUGAUUCGUAUGAUCAAAUUUGCAAAAUGCUGGAACAACAGAAUCAAGUUUCAACAUCUAUGCCCUCUGCUACUGCAGCAAAUAUGGCAGGUAUUGGUAGGGCCUGUUGGUCAGCAAUAAACCACAUGAGUGGAUUAUUGAUACAGGUGCUACAAAUCACAUGACAGGAGACAUUGAACUUCUUAUAGGAACACUAUACAAAAUGUGUUCCAUUUACCUCAAUUCAAAUAUAACUUGUUAUUAGUCUCACAGGAUACUAAACAACUUAAUUGUUCUGCAACUUUCUUUCCUAACUUCUGUGUAUUUUAGGAUCUUUGGAAUGGGAAGGCGAAGGAUAUUGGUAGAGAAAAGAAUGGAUCACACUUUCUACUGGGACAAAAUCUACCAGGACAUAGUAGAGUAGCUGAAUGUGUGCUCAAUAUUGAGGUAACAGAUAAAUAAAUCUUCAACUGUGUCAUAAGAGGCUUGGACAUGUUCCAUAUAGAAUACUGUGU
This 4356-nucleotide long non-coding RNA is filed under the name Capsicum annuum. RNAcentral's name for it is "long non-coding RNA (CANN_LNC009767)". The record is from RNAcentral. Lineage: Eukaryota; Viridiplantae; Streptophyta; Magnoliopsida; Solanales; Solanaceae.